GACGAACGCUGGCGGCGUGCUUAACACAUGCAAGUCGAACGGAAAGGCCCUGCUUUUGUGGGGUGCUCGAGUGGCGAACGGGUGAGUAACACGUGAGUAACCUGCCCUUGACUUUGGGAUAACUUCAGGAAACUGGGGCUAAUACCGGAUAGGAGCUCCUGCUGCAUGGUGGGGGUUGGAAAGUUUCGGCGGUUGGGGAUGGACUCGCGGCUUAUCAGCUUGUUGGUGGGGUAGUGGCUUACCAAGGCUUUGACGGGUAGCCGGCCUGAGAGGGUGACCGGCCACAUUGGGAAUGAGAUACGGCCCAGACUCCUAAGGGAGGCAGCAGUGGGGAAUAUUGCACAAUGGGCGGAAGCCUGAAGCAGCAACGCCGCGUGCGGGAUGACGGCCUUCGGGUUGGAAACCGCUUUCGCCUGUGACGAAGCGUGAGUGACGGUAAUGGGUAAAGAAGCACCGGCUAACUACGUG
This 468-nucleotide ribosomal RNA is filed under the name uncultured bacterium. RNAcentral's name for it is "partial 16S ribosomal RNA". It matches the Rfam family "Bacterial small subunit ribosomal RNA", at positions 28 to 507 of the family's 1533-position model. The record is from RNAcentral.